ACAGCAUCACAGCACCACCAUCAGUGCCAUCCCUGCAUCACCACCAACAGUGCAUCACCACCAUCAGUGCCAUCCGUGCAUCACCACCAUCAGUGCAGCACCACAGCAUCACAGCACCACCAUCAGUGCCAUCCCUGCAUCACCGCCAUCAGCAUCAUCAGUGCAGCACCGCAGCACCGCCAUCAAUGCAGCACCGCCAUCAGUGCAGCAUCGCCAUCAGUGCCAUCCCUGCAUCACCAUCAGUGCAGCACCACAGCAUCACAGCACCACCAUCAGUGCCAUCCCUGCAUCACCGCCAUCAGAGCAGCAUCGCCAUCAGUGCCAUCCCUGCAUCAUCACCAACAGUGCAUCACCACCAUCACUGCAUCACCACCAUCAGUGCAGCACCGCAGCAUCACAGCACCGCCAUCAGUGCCAUCCCUGCAUCACCACCAUCAGUGCAUCACCACCAUCAGUGCAGCACCGCAGCAUCACAGCACCGCCAUCAGUGCCAUCCCUGCAUCACCGCCAUCAGCAUCAUCACCGCAGCACCACCAUCAAUGCAGCACCGCCAUCAGUGCCAUCCCUGCAUCGCCAUCAGUGCAGGACCACCAUCACCACCAUCAGCGUCGGCACCGCAGCACCACAGCACCGCCAUCAGUGCAGCCUCUGCAUCACCACCAUCAGUGCAGCACCACCAUCGGUGCCAUCCAUGCAUCACCACCAUCAGCGUCAUCAGUGCAGCACUGCAUCACUGCCAUCAGUGCAGCACCACCAUCAUGGCCAUCAGUGCAGCACCACAGCAUCGCCAUCAGUGCCAUCCCUGCAUCACCACCAUCAGUGCUGCAGUGCGGCAGAGCAGCACCGCCAUCAGUGCCAUCCCUGCAUCACCAUCAGUGCAGCACCACCAUCAGUGCAGCACCACCAUCACCACGAUCAGCAUUGGCACCGCAGCACCGCCAUCAGAGCAGCACCGCCAUCAGUGCCAUCCCUGCAUCACCAUCAGUGCAGGACCACCAUCACCACCAUCAGAGCAGCACCACCAUCAGUGCCAUCCCUGCAUCACCACCAUCAGUGCAGCACCGCCAUCAGUGCAGGACCACCAUCACCACCAUCAGAGCA
Molecule: long non-coding RNA, 1101 nt
Filed under: Phasianus colchicus (ring-necked pheasant)
Lineage: Eukaryota; Metazoa; Chordata; Aves; Galliformes; Phasianidae
Description: lncRNA (ENSPCLG00000013935.1)
Source: RNAcentral